RNAcentral lists this ribosomal RNA (1356 nucleotides) under Triticum aestivum (bread wheat). RNAcentral's name for it is "partial small subunit ribosomal RNA". Lineage: Eukaryota; Viridiplantae; Streptophyta; Magnoliopsida; Poales; Poaceae. The record is from RNAcentral.
AUGAAGUCGUCGUCCCAGAGCCACAGCCCCAGGACCCCGUCGCCGCGCGCUCGCGGCACCGCGGCGGCAGCCGCCGACCACGCGCGCUCCUCCUCGGAGCCAUGGGUUCUGGCAUGCGUGGACGACACGUGCGUCAACGACGUGGAGAGCUUCGCGCGCACCGUCGCCGCCGUGAAGUCCAAGCCCCGCCCCGACCUGCUCCCGAGCGUGCUGUCCCACUACGCCGCCAAGUGGCUCCCGGACGUGGCCACGUCCGCGUCCGGCCGCUUCCUGCCCCCGGAGAGCCCCACGGCCACGUGGCUCAAGAAGCGCCUGCUCCUGGAGACCCUGGUCGCCGCGCUCCCGCCGGACCCGCCCAACGGCGCGGCCGCGGACGACGGCAUCACGUGCGACUUCCUGCUGAAGCUGCUCCGGGCGGGGAGCAUGGUGGGCGCGGACGCGGCGCUGCUGCGGGAUCUGGAGUCCCGCGCGGCGCGGCGGCUGGACCAGGCGACGCUGGCGGCCGUGAUGAUACCGGCGUUCGGGCACGCGCCGGGCGGGUCGACGCUGCUGGACGUGCCGCUGGUGCUGCGGCUGGUGCGCGGGUUCCUCAAGGAGGGCGGCAAGGGCGCCGGCGGCGGGGCCGGCGCGAGGGUGGCGAAGCUGGUGGACGCGUACCUGGCGGAGGCGGCGCUGGAGGCUGAGCUGCGGCCCGCCGAGCUGGAGGAGCUCGCCCGCGCCGUGCCCGCCCACGCGCGCGCGGCCGACGACGCGCUCUACCGCGCCGUCGACACCUACCUCAAGGCACAUCCAGGCGCCGGGAAAGAGGAGCGGAAGUCGCUGUGGAGGCUGAUCGACGCCCGGAAGCUGUCGGCGGAGGCGGCGGCGCACGCCGUCCAGAACGACCGGCUGCCGGUGCGCUCCGUGAUGCAGGUGCUCUUCUCGGAGCACGGCAAGCUGAACCGCCUGGCCGACCUGGGCGCCUCCUUCAGCGGCACCAGGGUCCCCUGCAGCCCGGCGGCGGCGCUGGACCUCCACUCCGGCAGCGGCCGCUGCCCCUCCAAGCGCGAGGCCCUGGCGCAGCACCAGGAGAUGCGCCGCCUGCGCGAGGACGUCGCCAGGCUCCAGGUGCAGUGCAGCGCGCUGCAGGAGCAGGUGGAGAGGCUGGGCUCGGAGAGGAGGCGCCGCGGCGGCGUCGGCGGGUUCAAGUGGAGCACGCUCUGGUUCGGCGGCGGCGGCGACGUCGCGAGGAUCGAGGACUCGGAGAGCGGCAUGGAGCGGCGGACGCCGGCGAGCGGGAAGAAGGGCAGGGGCAUGGCCACGGCGACGCCGACGCCGACGCGGCGGACCCCCAAGUGGCGCAAGUCCAUGUCAUGA